This 1492-nucleotide ribosomal RNA is filed under the name metagenome. RNAcentral describes it as "bacterial SSU rRNA". It matches the Rfam family "Bacterial small subunit ribosomal RNA". The record is from RNAcentral.
AGAGUUUGAUCCUGGCUCAGAACGAACGCUGGCGGCGCGUUUUAAGCAUGCAAGUCGAACGGUAACCUGGCUUCGGCCAGGCUAGAGUGGCGAACGGGUGAGUAACACGUAAGUAAUCUGCCUUUGGAUUGGGGAUAGCUCAUGGAAACAUGGGGUAAUACCGAAUAAUACCAGGCAACUGGUGAAAGAUGCUUUAUGCAUCGUCUAAAGAUGAGCUUGCGGCUCAUUAGCUUGUUGGUAGGGUAAUGGCCUACCAAGGCGACGAUGAGUAGCCGGCCUGAGAGGGUGAUCGGCCACACUGGGACUGAGACACGGCCCAGACUUCUACGGAAGGCAGCAGCUAAGAAUCUUCCGCAAUGGGCGAAAGCCUGACGGAGCGACGCCGCGUGAACGAUGAAGGCCGAAAGGUUGUAAAGUUCUUUUCUUUGUGAAGAAUAAUGUCAGGAGGAAAUGCCUGACAGAUGACGUUAGCAGAGGAAUAAGCCCCGGCUAAUUACGUGCCAGCAGCCGCGGUAACACGUAAGGGGCAAGCGUUGUUCGGAAUUAUUGGGUGUAAAGGGCGUGUAGGCGGCUCUUCAAGCUUGGUGUGAAAGGCUACGGCUUAACCGUAGUUAUGCGCUGAGAACUGUUGAGCUAGAGUUCUGUAGGGGAGACUGGAAUUCCUGGUGUAGGGGUGAAAUCUGUAGAUAUCAGGAAGAACACCGGUGGCGAAGGCGAGUCUCUGGGCAUGAACUGACGCUGAGGCGCGAAAGCGUAGGGAGCGAACAGGAUUAGAUACCCUGGUAGUCUACGCUGUAAACGAUGUACACUAGGUGUUGGGGGCGCUAGUCCUCAGUGCCGUAGCUAACGUGUUAAGUGUACCACCUGGGGAGUAUGCCCGCAAGGGUGAAACUCAAAGGAAUUGACGGGGGCCCGCACAAGCGGUGGAGCAUGUGGUUUAAUUCGAUGAUACGCGAGGAACCUUACCAGGGUUUGACAUGUACUGGAAUGUCUGAGAGAUCAGGCAGCCUCUUUGAGGCCGGUAUACAGGUGCUGCAUGGCUGUCGUCAGCUCGUGUCGUGAGAUGUUGGGUUAAGUCCCGCAACGAGCGCAACCCCUGCCGUCUGUUACCAUCAGGUAAUGCUGGGGACUCAGGCGGAACUGCCGGUGACAAACCGGAGGAAGGUGGGGACGAGGUCAAGUCAUCAUGGCCCUUAUAUCCUGGGCUACACACGUGCUACAAUGGCCGGUACAGAGUGAUGCGAAACCGCGAGGUGGAGCAAAUCGCAGAAAGCCGGUCUAAGUCCGGAUUGGAGUCUGAAACUCGACUCCAUGAAGCUGGAAUCGCUAGUAAUCGCACAUCAGCAUGGUGCGGUGAAUACGUUCCCGGGCCUUGUACACACCGCCCGUCACACCACCCGAGUUGGGGGUACCCGAAGUCGCUAGUCUAACCAGCAAUGGAGGACGGUGCCGAAGGUAUGCCUGGUAAGGGGGGUGAAGUCGUAACAAGGUA